GAAUGCUCGAGUUCCUUUCAUGUUUCGCCUCUCCCCUGUCUCGUCUUCUCCGCUGCUGCUGCUUCUUUGGUCCCUCGCUUUGUCGGGAGACGGAACCCUCCUUGCUUGGCUCCCCACUGAGGGACCAUUGGCCCCCUCGACGCCCGCCCACGGACGCGGGGCCUUCGGACCGCCUCGCCGGAUUCACCGGCCCCUGUCUUGAACGCCCGGUCUGAUGCAUAUGGCGGCUGCACUAUAGUGAACGAGAGGGCGGUGGUGUUGAAGCUCGCCCGAGUGAGAAAGAUGAAGCGGCUUGCCAACGGAGCUGCGGCUCACGAAGUGGAGACGAAGACGAUCAACCCGGAGCUGUGGCAUGCGUGUGCGGGGCCGCUUGUGACGCUGCCGCUGGUGGGGAGCCUCGUCGUGUACUUUCCCCAGGGACACAGCGAGCAGGUUGCAACUUCUAUGCAAAAGGAUCUUGAUGCUCAUAUUCCAAACUAUACCAGUCUUCCCUCAAAGUUGAUAUGCCUUCUUCACAAUGUUACACUGCAUGUGGAUCCAGAGACAGAUGAAGUUUAUGCUCAGAUGACUCUUCAGCCAGUUAAUUCGUAUGAGAAGGAGGCAUUGCUGGCAUCAGAGCUUGCACUAAAACAAACCAGGUCGCAGACAGAAUUCUUUUGUAAAACACUUACUGCGAGUGAUACAAGCACACAUGGAGGGUUCUCUGUUCCUCGUCGUGCUGCAGAGAAAAUUUUCCCUGCUCUUGACUUCUCAAUGCAGCCACCUGCUCAAGAAAUACAGGCCAGAGACUUGCAUGAGAAUCUCUGGACCUUCCGUCAUAUCUAUCGAGGUCAACCCAAAAGGCACUUGCUCACCACUGGUUGGAGCUUAUUUGUGAGCGGAAAGAAGCUCUUCGCUGGUGAUUCCGUCUUAUUUAUUAGGGAUGAAAAACAACAGCUUCUUUUAGGUAUUCGGCGUGCUAACAGGCAACCUACCAGCAUAUCAUCAUCUGUCCUGUCAAGUGAUAGCAUGCAUAUAGGCAUUCUUGCUGCUGCAGCCCAUGCUGCUGCAAACAACAGCCCAUUCACUGUAUUUUACAAUCCAAGUGGUAAAUUAAUGUCAUUCUGCAGGACCUGUCCUUCAGAUUUUGUUAUUCCUUUUGCAAAAUACCAGAAGGCAGUAUAUAGCAACCAAAUAUUCCUGGGUAUGCGCUUUCGUAUGUUGUUCGAAACUGAAGAAUCAGGAACAAGAAGGUACAUGGGUACCAUUACAGGCAUUAGUGAUUUGGAUCCUGUAAGGUGGAAAAACUCACAAUGGCACAAUUUGCAGGUCGGAUGGGAUGAGUCUGCAGCAGGCGAGAGACACAACAGGGUGUCCAUAUGGGAGAUUGAACCUGUGAUAGCUCCUUUCUUCAUCUGUCCACCAUUUUUUCGCAAGCGCACCAGACAACCAGGAAUGCUAGACGAUGAAUCAUCAGAAAUGGAAAAUAUUUUUAAGAGGGCAAUGCCUUGGCUUGGAGAGGAGACCUGCAUAAAGGAUUCUGAAACUCAGAGCACUGUAAUGCCAGGUCUAAGUUUAGUUCAAUGGAUGAACAUGCAACAAAAUCCAUCCCUUGCUAGCCAAACCCUGCAAACAGAAUAUUUGUGCUCCCUUGCUGGACCUGUCCGAAACCUUGGUACAACUGAUCUUUCUUGGCCAUUGGGUUUGCAAGCUUCAAAGUUGCAACAGGCAAAUAUGCAGUUUAAUGCUAGUAGGAUGAGUCAACAAGUUGAGGAACUUGCUAAAUUGUCAAUCCCACUGAACCAAGUGGGUGCUGUUAGUAGACAACAGAUGCAAGAUCUAUCUUUGCAGCAGAAGCAGCAAUUGGUCAACCAAGCAGUACCAUCUGACGAGAGACAGAACAACAUAAUACAGCCUCAAGUACUGAUCCAGAUUCAAUUGCAGCAACAACAGCACCAGCCACAGCAAGAGCCACCGACUAUGAUACAGAACAAGGAGUUAUUACAAACCAGCCUCCACCAGAAUCAGCAACAACAUCCUCAGCAACUGCUCCUGCAGCAGCAGCACCAGGACCAGCAACUUGAGCAGCAAUACCAGCCACAGCCAAGUAGGAUUCUAGCAGUGAAUCAACAGUUAUCUGAUCAACAGAAUCGGCCACAGUUGCUACAAAAACUCCAGCAGCAGCAGCAACAACAACAGCAGUCAUCAUUUUCACAGCCCCGAAUGCAACAACCUCCGUUUCCUCAAAUUCAGGAGUCCCAAAAAACUCUCCCAGAUGUACUACAGCAGUUAUUGAACUCCCAUUCACUAGUUCAGCAACCAAUGAUUCCUCAACCAUGUCCAAAAGCUACUCCUGCAAGGCUACAACAGCCUUCGCCCAACCUGUCACAGCAAAAGCCUCAACAGCAGCAAACUCUACUAGGUGACUUAUCCGGGGCUAUCCUUCCUGCUACACCGGCAACCAAUUUGAUCCCUGCUUGUGGCAGCUCUUUGCUAGCAGCUGAAGGGACACAGUCAGGAUUUACCAACGACAACCCAUUUUGCUCCACAUCACCUUCAGCAAACAAUGGAGCUAUUCUUCCACAUUCAAUUUUAAAUGGGAUUCAAAACUACACUCUCGAGUCAACAGAGAAGACGUCUCAGUCAGUUAUUACAAUGCUUGGUCCAACCUCCGUUGAAAAUGCUGCAGCAAUACCCAACAUCUCGAAGGAGUUUCCAAAAGCUGUACACAGUAUGAAGCUCUUGACCCCAUUUUCCAAGGUGCAAAAUCAGGGUGUCAUUGCCCCUCAGACAUAUGUAGGCAACACAACACAAAUGGAUUACUUGGACACAACCUCUUCAGCAACUUCUGUGUGCCUAUCCCAGACUGAUGGACCAUUACAUCAAAUUUUCCCUCUCUCUUCUUUCAAUCAACCAUCAAUGCUCAGGGUUGCACCUACAUAUGGUGAUGUCCAGGGCACAGAUCCAGGAGAUAAUGUUCCCUUUGGAGAUAACAUCGAUAGCUCAUUGGAAUUACCUUUGACCAUUGAUACUAUGCUGGCAAACAGCAUUGAUUCAGGAAAGUAUCAGAAUCGUAUCACUAGGGAUGUAGUUGCCAACUAUAAUGCCUCAAAAGAUGCUCAACAAGACUUAUCAUUAUCCAUGGUAUCACAAGCAUUCGGAAUUCCAGACAUCGCAUUUAAUUCUAUAGAUUCAACUACUAAUGAGAAUGUUUUCUUAACUAAAAGCUCGUGGACACCAGUGCCGCCACCACUUCAGCAUAUGCGCACUUACACUAAGGUAUACAAGCGUGGAGCUGUUGGCAGAUCGAUAGAUAUCACACAUUACUCAGGCUAUGAUGAGCUGAAACAUGAUCUUGCACGAAUGUUCAAUAUAGAGGGACAGCUGGAAGAUCGACAAAGAAUUGGCUGGAAGCUAGUUUACGUAGAUCAUGAAAAUGAUGUUCUACUUGUUGGAGAUGACCCAUGGGAGGAGUUUGUGAACUGUGUUCGGUGCAUCAAGAUAUUGUCUCCACAAGAAGUACAACAGAUGAGCAUCGAUGUUGAUUUGGAAAACAAUAGCCUCCUAAAUCAGGCUUGCGGCAGCUCUGAUGGUGGAAAUGCCUGGAGGGGCCACCAUGAUCAGAACUCAGGCAACCUCUCAGCUGGAUCGUAUGAUCAUUUUGAAUGAUAAUAUAAUCAUUUGGAAUGACUAACUGAUCAUGCGGUGAAGCUGAUUUCAACUUUUGUUGGCCAUCGUGCCUGGCAUUCCAUAUGAAGAUCGUCUAAAAGAUGAUGAUGAGUGGAAGUGUCCAUUGUCCAAACUGCAUAAUUGAUGGCAAAAAGCCAAUAUCGAAAAGCAGAAGCAGCUACACAUGACAAACCUCACCCAUUAUUUUUGAAUGGAGAUGAGAAAUUGUGGUGAAAUGCUGCCUAGAAUUUGAAGUACAGUUGAAGUCAUAGGCAGAAAGGAUGUCGCAAAGGAGUAACCUUACUAAGGUCUGACCUUAUUCGAAAUCGAAACUUGGUGCUAAAAAGGAAAAAAAAAAAUAGUGUGUAACUUCAUGAAGUAAACAUAUUUCGGCACAAUUUCAGAAUCUGCUGCCUGCUUCUCAUCUCCUCGACAGAGUGCUUCUCGGUACCAAUGAACUCGGUGUCUACCUUCGGUUCUCAUCACCGACUCACCUGCAUGGAAGCUUGACUGUUGAUGGGCGAGCUCUGAGUACUGUAUCGCAGCGUGCAGUUCGCCAAGCUAUCUUCUCCGAGAGCACUUAGCCACUGCAGCUCUGGCAACACAACCUUUUCGAGAUCUGGUCUAUCCUUCCUUCUCAGCUCUGUGCACUUGAGUGCCUUCUCAGCAAGCCGCUGAGCCGCCUCCACCGGCCAGUCCGACUCCGCAGGAUCCAACACUUCGGCGAAUGUUCCCUGCUCGAUUGCGCGGCUCACGAGGUGCGUUAGCCCCAUCGGAGGCUUCGCCGUGAUGAUCUGCAGCAGCAGAACCCCGAGCGAGUAUAUGUCGGACUUCACCCCCAGCAUGCCCGUCUGCUGGUACUCGGGAUCGAUGUAGCAGAAGGUUCCGGCCGUGGAGGUGAUCCGGUACUGCGUGACGCUGUCCGCCACCGACGGGGGGACCAGCCGGGCGAGGCCGACGUCGCCGAUCUUGCUCACGUAGUUCCUGUCGAGGAGGAUGUUCCCGGGCUUGAGGUCGCGGUGUACCAGUGGCUCCGGCUUCAUCCGGUGCAGGAAGAGGAGUCCGGUGGCGAUCUCACAAGCGAUGCGGAACCUGUGCUGCCAUGGGAUCACCGGCGAGUUGCCUCGCCGGAAAAGUCUGUCGUCCAAGCUCCCGUUGGCCAUGUAUUCGUACACGAUACAGCCGUACUCCGGGCAGGCACCCAGGAGCAGCACCAUGUUCGGGUGCCUGAUGCAGCUCAGCACCUCAACCUGCGCAACCAAAGGGAAGCAUCAAGGCGAACCUGCAACAGGUAUCGGUUUGAUCCCAUGCUCAUCCACUCUGCUUACCUCUUGUUGAAACUGCGACCUCCCUUGAGCUGCAUCCGGGCGCAGAACCUUGACGGCCACCGCCGUGUGAUCCAGAUGGCAUUUGUAGACCGGGCCAUAGCCACCCUCUCCGAUCUUACGAUGCUCAGCGAAGUAUUCCGUGGCAAUUUCGAUAUCCUCAAUGGUGUACUUCCUGUACCUCACGUCCGCACGAGGUGCGGAAUCUAAAGUUCUGUUGUUCUCGUGGGCAUCUUUAAUUGCCAUCAUCUCUGCAUCUA
Musa acuminata AAA Group (dessert banana) is the source of this 5233-nucleotide RNA transcript. It is a transcript of the gene named auxin response factor 19-like, with no coding region annotated. The record is from RefSeq and is a predicted model, not a curated record. Lineage: Eukaryota; Viridiplantae; Streptophyta; Magnoliopsida; Zingiberales; Musaceae. The transcript has 17 exons.